AGAACACCAAUUCAAAGAGGGAGAUAAUGGCUCGCGCUUCGCCUCCUUUUUUCCUCUUAGUAAACUACAUGAUAAAAAUGGUGGUUAUCUUGUUGAUGGGACAUGUGUGAUUGAAGCUGAAGUGUCCGUGACUGAUGUCUUCCCUGUUUCCACAGAUGAAGUGAGUUUUAAUUUUGAUAAAUUUGUUAGAUCUCCACGUCUCAAGACUUGAUUCUUCUCUUGAUUUCUGGUUGAUUGUUGCAUUCAGCCUUCUGAUUAUUCCGUUCAUAGCGAUCAGAACAUCGAUUCAAUGAGUGAUUUAGAUGAUGCGGAAUCUAUUUCCAUCAAGGAUGAAUCCUUUCUCAAGUCAAUAUCAAAGGAACCAACUAGUUCACUAUCCGAUGCGACACGUGUUGUGCCUUCGAUUGAAGAUGUCGCAAGUUCGGCAAAAGAGCGCUUUGGCAAGCUGAUUUCGUUACCUUUAGAUGAUUUGGUCCACCCGGAGAAUGAAACUGCAAUGAUAGAGACUCUGUCAAUACUUGGUG
RNAcentral lists this long non-coding RNA (524 nucleotides) under Olea europaea subsp. europaea. The record is from RNAcentral. Lineage: Eukaryota; Viridiplantae; Streptophyta; Magnoliopsida; Lamiales; Oleaceae.